GAAAAUCCUGUGGAAAUGGUUAUUGUGACGAUUGUGGAACCUGGAUUUGGUGGACAGAAGUUCAUGUCAGAAAUGAUAGAUAAGAUUUCUGCUACUUUGAAGACAUCAAUUGGUUAAUUCACUCUCAAUCAAGGUGACUCUCUUCACAAGAGGAAAAGCUCCCAUCACCCAACAAUUGCCUGGUGAAUCAGAGAAGGAUUGUGCUGAUUUUUCUUCCAAGAUCUUGCACUUGAAAGGAGACAUGACGAACAUUGAAUUUGUGAAAGCCAGUCUCUCAGCCGAAGGCUUUGAUGUUGUUUAUGAUAUUAAUGGUAUGCAUUGCAAUAACUUUUUGCUCCUUAUACAAUCCACACAAUGUGUCCUAUCUAUGUGUUUAUUUUAGACUUGUUAAUUAUGUUCUAGUUUUUGUUAUAAAAUUUGGAGUGUUUAUAUUGUUUCAAUUGUUCUAGUUAAUUACUUUGAUAGCCUUCUUAAUAUCAUAUAUGGAGUUUGUGGUGUUACGUUAAUUGGGUAUUGUCAUUCAUGUCUUGUUCAUCAUCUAUGGCCAGCAUUUUACCUUUUAAUCUUGGAAAAGUAAAUUACUAAAGUUAAAAUUUGUGUGUGAUAAUUCUUUCAAGAUAUGGCUUGCGACACAUUCUUGAAAACUGUUCAAAAGUACAAGCGUAAAUUUGUUAUUGUACAGGUAGCAUUAUUUUAAUCUUGUUGGUCAAAUGUCAAUUUUCUAUAUUGGAUAUAACGUUGAAUGUGUCAUUCUUUUCUUCUAUUGUUUCCAGAUUGGAGAAAGCGAACCAUUUGUAUAUGAGCUUCUAACAAGCCUUCCUACAAUUAUAGCUGAUCUUGAGCCCCAUCAGAUUCAUUCAUUUUAUGAAUCAGUAAUUUUGGUGGAGUUUUCUAUGAACUAUAACAUUGUUGGAGCAUUCUCAACAUGUAGAAUGCUGAUUUCAGUAAAGUAUUUUUAGAUCUAUAAGGUUACCCAGUUUUAAUAAUACUUUGAUAGGUUGGAAUUUGUAGAAGUUUGAAUUGCUUUCUUCUUGCAGGAACUCAUAGACAUCAAAGGUGAUGGAAUGGCUAACAUGGUAUUUCGUUGUAUUCAGGAAAUGGACAUUAAUAAUCGGAUGAUGCUCUACCAGCACAUAGUUUUAAGUGGAGGGAGUACUAUGUAUCUUGGAUUGCCUAGUCGCCCUUGUAAACCCACAUGAAGAAUAUCGAAAAAGAGGUUUGGCGAUACCUGUGUCAAUUAUGGGAUGAUAAGACGUACCAGGAUUUUCAUCCUUUCUCUAUGACUAUAGACGGUGAUAAGCUUUUGUGGUCGUGGAACAAUUAAUUGUUUAGGGCAUGUUGCUCUUGUAACUGAACUUGUGAAGAGGUGGUGCGAGAGAAAGACAAAGUUGAAGUCGUCAUAGAGUUCUAGCUCAUACAACAUUGAACUAUUUUGAUCUUGUUUUGGGAUUUAACUCAUAUAAUGAACUAUGUUGAAGUGAAUUUGGAUACUUAGAGUUUUGAUUUUUGUAAUUUGCUUUUUGUAUAUACAAGAAUAGAUUUGAUCUUGUGUACAAGAUUUGAUCUUGUUUUUUUUCUAUAUACAGAGAUAGAUUUGGG
Non-coding RNA from Camellia sinensis, 1599 nucleotides. The record is from RefSeq and is a predicted model, not a curated record. NCBI's taxonomy places the organism in Eukaryota, Viridiplantae, Streptophyta, Magnoliopsida, Ericales, Theaceae.